AAGGCUGGUCUCGAACUCAGAGACCUGCUUGUCUCUGCCUCCCCAGUGCUGGGCUUAAAGGUAUGAGCCACCACUGGCAGGCUUACUUUUUAAGGCACUUCAUUUAAGGUAAUUCUUUGCCUAACAAUUCAUAGUCAAUACAGUGAGUAUUGGUUUAGGAAACAGAUUAGUCAAGCCCUGGAGAACGAAGUUAGAAAGGACAGGAAACUAUUAGCCUCUGAGGUCUGAAGGAGCCUGGAGAGAAGAGCUCUGGGAUCUAUCGACCGCAGCAAAAAGAAGCGGCCUGACCGUGGCCUUUGGUAGAGGAAGGUGGUGUGCCAGGAAACGGGGAGCCGGGCAAACAAACACCCCAUCUCGGUUUCUUCUCACCUUCAACCUGGCCAAAGUUGCCGCCUCUGCUGGCCAAGCACACGGUGCAGGCACACAUCUCAGAACAGAUCCCAAGUGUCGAAAGUGAAGACAUAACUGUUCCAAGCAUUAAGAUCCUGCAAACACCACCUCCAGGACGGCAGAGUCAGUGUAGGCAGGAGGAAGAUUCGACCAGUGUCUCUGGUUUCGACUUGACGUGAGGUAUGAUGGGGGAGAGGUCCUUCUGCUUGACCGUUUUCUGAGUGAUCAGCUCAGAUCUGUAAAGGCUCUAGGUCAAGGCCACAAAAUGUGGACAAACAUUUCUUCAGCUGGGAAUUUGAAAAGAGGUUGAGGCUGGAAAGAGAUGGCUCAGCAGUAAAGAGUACAGACUCAAGGGUCCACUCCCAGCACCAACAUGGGAGGCUCACAACCAUCAGCCACUCCAGUUCCAGGGGACCCACCACUUUCUUCCGGUCUCUAUGGGCACUGUACACACAUGGUACCCAGACAUACAUGCAGCCCAAACACCUGCACACAUAACAUAGAAAUGAA
RNAcentral lists this small RNA (900 nucleotides) under Rattus norvegicus (Norway rat). RNAcentral's name for it is "uncharacterized LOC103692815". The record is from RNAcentral. Lineage: Eukaryota; Metazoa; Chordata; Mammalia; Rodentia; Muridae.